Molecule: non-coding RNA, 336 nt
Organism: Ehrlichia canis str. Jake
Lineage: Bacteria; Pseudomonadati; Pseudomonadota; Alphaproteobacteria; Rickettsiales; Anaplasmataceae
Source: Rfam
UCAGGUAAAAGAGUAGUUGCUGUACUAACAUACAGAGGAAAGUCCGGACUCCAAGGGAAAAUGGUGACAGGUAAUCCCUGUCGGGGGUAACUUCAGGUAAAGGGCUACAGAAAAUAACCGCCUUGUUAACAAGGUAAGGGUGAAAAGGCGUGGUAAGAGCACACCGUACUUAUGGCAACAUAUAGUAGCUAGGCAACCACCACCAGGAGCAAGACUAAAAUGAGGUAAUGUAUUUUCCCUUACAAUUACCAAGGUGAGUCGCGCGAGUUAGGUAGUGAUACCUAUCCCAGAUGAAUAACUACAUAAACAGAAUCCGGCUUAUUUUUACCUGGCACA